GAUGAACGCUGGCGGUGUGCCUAAUACAUGCAAGUCGAGCGAACAGACGAGGAGCUUACUCCUCUGACGUUAGCGGCGGACGGGUGAGUAACACGUGGAUAACCUACCUAUAAGACUGGGAUAACUUCGGGAAACCGGAGCUAAUACCGGAUAACAUGUUGAACCGCAUGGUUCAACAGUGAAAGACGGUCUUGCUGUCACUUCUAGAUGGAUCCGCGUCGCAUUAGCUAGUUGGUAAGGUAACGGCUUACCAAGGCAACGAUGCGUAGCCGACCUGAGAGGGGAGACGGCCACAGUGAACCUACGACCCGUUCCGAACCCUGAGGGGGGCCAGAAUAGGGAAGUCGUCCGCAUGGGCGAAAGCCUGACGGAGCAACGCCGCGUGAGUGAAGAAGGUCUUCGGAUCGUAAAACUCUGUUAUUAGGGAAGAACAAAUGUGUAAGUAACUAUGCACGUCUUGACGGUACCUAAUCAGAAAGCCACGGCUAACUACGUG
This 496-nucleotide ribosomal RNA is filed under the name uncultured bacterium. Its description in RNAcentral is "partial 16S ribosomal RNA". It matches the Rfam family "Bacterial small subunit ribosomal RNA", at positions 28 to 507 of the family's 1533-position model. The record is from RNAcentral.